UAGGGAAUAUUGGUCAAUGGGCGCAAGCCUGAAUCAGCCAUGCCGCGUGCAGGAUGACGGCCCUCAGGGUUGUAAACUGCUUUUAUAUGGGAAUAAAAAAGUCCUUGCGAGGACUCUUGAAGGUACCAUAAGAAUAAGCACCGGCUAACUCCGUGCCAGCAGCCGCGGUAAUACGGAGGGUGCAAGCGUUAUCCGGAUUUACUGGGUUUAAAGGGUGCGUAGGCGGCUUUUUAAGUCAGUGGUGAAAGCCUAGACACUUAAUGUCAGAAGUGCCAUUGAUACUGAAGAGCUUGAGUCGAGGAGAGGUAAGCAGAAUUUAUGGUGUAGCGGUGAAAUGCAUAGAUACCAUAAAGAACACCGAUAGCGAAGGCAGCUUACUAGACAAUAACUGACGCUGAGGCACGAAAGCGUGGGGAGCGAACGGGAUUAGAUACCCCCGUAGUCC
Molecule: ribosomal RNA, 445 nt
Filed under: uncultured prokaryote
Description: bacterial SSU rRNA
Rfam family: Bacterial small subunit ribosomal RNA
Source: RNAcentral